Amphiprion ocellaris (clown anemonefish) is the source of this 322-nucleotide long non-coding RNA. The record is from Ensembl. NCBI's taxonomy places the organism in Eukaryota, Metazoa, Chordata, Actinopteri, Pomacentridae.
CAAUACGACUCUCUAUCUGUUGUGUGCUGCUUUAGCUUUAAGUCUGCUUGUUGUUGCUUUUGUCAUUUAUUCAAUCAAGAAACUGAAGCGAGAAUCACAUGCGUAUUGUGAUGAUACAGCUGCAGUUGUUCUGCAAACAAAUGCACCAGACAGUGGAAUUCAGGAAAACCAGCAGACAGAUGAGGAAUCUUUGGUUUAUUCUGCACCAAAUUUCAUCAGUAGAAAAACUACUAAAACAGGGAGAAGGAAGACAACACCUACAGAGGAGGAGAGCAUCUACACUGAUGUCAACACUCUUGGAUUAACAUCUUGACACCAGAUG